GCGCUCGUAGCUCAGUUGGAUAGAGCAGCGGCCUUCUAAGCCGCCGGUCGCCCGUUCGAGUCGGGCCGGGCGCG
This 74-nucleotide transfer RNA is filed under the name Myxococcales bacterium. RNAcentral describes it as "tRNA-Arg". It matches the Rfam family "tRNA". From Rfam's summary of the family: Transfer RNA (tRNA) molecules are approximately 80 nucleotides in length. Their secondary structure includes four short double-helical elements and three loops (D, anti-codon, and T loops). Further hydrogen bonds mediate the characteristic L-shaped molecular structure. tRNAs have two regions of fundamental functional importance: the anti-codon, which is responsible for specific mRNA codon recognition, and the 3' end, to which the tRNAs corresponding amino acid is attached (by aminoacyl-tRNA synthetases). tRNAs cope with the degeneracy of the genetic code in two manners: having more than one tRNA (with a specific anti-codon) for a particular amino acid; and 'wobble' base-pairing, i.e. permitting non-standard base-pairing at the 3rd anti-codon position. The record is from RNAcentral. Lineage: Bacteria; Pseudomonadati; Myxococcota; Myxococcia; Myxococcales.